Molecule: long non-coding RNA, 325 nt
Organism: Populus trichocarpa (black cottonwood)
Lineage: Eukaryota; Viridiplantae; Streptophyta; Magnoliopsida; Malpighiales; Salicaceae
Exons: 3
Source: RefSeq, a predicted model, not a curated record
GAGGGGGAAGAAUUGUGUGAUUUUUCUACUUAAAUGCUCAUUGAUUUCACUAAUUAAAGUGAGUAAUUAGAGUGAGUAACUUAAUUAAACAUAAAGAGGGGGUUGAUUUUAAGGUGGUGAAUGCAUUGAAGGAAGGAUUUCAAGCUAGGGUUUGAAGAGGGAGAAGAAGAAAACUUGAUUUUUCUUGCAUUCUUUUCUUAAAUCCUUAUCAAAGUGAGAGGAGGCCGCAGGACCUAAUCAGCAACAAGGGACAUCUUCACGCGCACAGACACCAGGUACAUCGCACCCUCGUUCUGGAAAGUAGAUGCUUGGAUAAAUAAUUUUG